AGUGGCGAACGGGUGCGUAACACGUGAGAAACCUGCCCUGAACUUGGGAAUAACAGUUGGAAACGACUGCUAAUACCGAAUACCUUCACGACGUCGCAUGGCGAUGUGAAGAAAGCCUUGUGCGGUUUAGGAGGGUCUCGCGACCUAUCAGCUAGUUGGUGAGGUAACGGCUCACCAAGGCAUCGACGGGUAGCUGGUCUGAGAGGAUGAUCAGCCACACUGGAACUGAGACACGGUCCAGACUCCUACGGGAGGCAGCAGUGGGGAAUAUUGCACAAUGGGCGCAAGCCUGAUGCAGCGAUGCCGCGUGCGGGAUGAAGGCCCUAGGGUUGUAAACCGCUUUCAGUAGGGAAGAAAAUGACGGUACCUACAGAAGAAGGUGCGGCCAACUACGUGCCAGCAGCCGCGGUGACACGUAGGCACCAAGCGUUGUCCGGAUUUAUUGGGCGUAAAGAGCUCGUAGGCGGUUCGGUAAGUCGGGUGUGAAAGCUCUGGGCUCAACCCAGAGACGCCACCCGAUACUGCUGUGACUUGAGUACGGUAGGGGAGUGGGGAAUUCCUGGUGUAGCGGUGAAAUGCGCAGAUAUCAGGAGGAACACCAGUGGCGAAGGCGCCACUCUGGGCCGUAACUGACGCUGAGGAGCGAAAAGCAUGGGUAGCAAACAGGAUUAGAUACCCUGGUAGUCCAUGCCGUAAACGUUGGGCACUAGGUGUGGGUCUCAACCAACGAGAUCCGCGCCGUCGCUAACGCAUUUAU
Molecule: ribosomal RNA, 757 nt
Filed under: uncultured bacterium
Lineage: Bacteria
Description: bacterial SSU rRNA
Rfam family: Bacterial small subunit ribosomal RNA
Source: RNAcentral